UGUAUUCUGCCAAUAAUAUAUUAUUGCCAAUAUAUUCUACAAAUAAUAAUAUAUUGUGUCAACAAUUUUGGAGUUCACUGUAUCCACUGGAAUGGUUUACGAAAUGGACACUGCCAGUUUUGACACUAUCGAUCUUAACACAGCCAGCGAUUCGACGGUAGAAUGACAGUAGGAAAUUGAUAAAUAGUUUAUCGACGUUGCACUACGAUUCCCAGGACGAUUGCGUAGGGAGAACCAGCGGGCAGAUCGCGACGGACUGACCGUUUACUUGGAAACGCGACGGAGUCAGGAGACUUGGGUCGAAUUUAUAAUUAACGCGGCCUGUAAAAUGGGACACCUCUACUGGAGUCAGAUGACCCUACAUCACCGCGUCACGCACCAUUUAUUUACCCCUCGUGCUCAUCUGUUUGAGCAAAUAGAACCAAACUUAUGAAAAUGUAAUCGCUCAGUAAUCUCUGUAAUGAUAGUCAGAAAAAGUAAGCCAUUUUCUGAGUAGUGUUCUGAUCAUUUUAGUUGGUGGUUGUCGUUAAUUUUAUUUAAUAGUUUAUUUUGUACGAAAGUAAAAGAUAAUUUUGCAAAA
Megalopta genalis is the source of this 580-nucleotide non-coding RNA. The record is from RefSeq and is a predicted model, not a curated record. NCBI's taxonomy places the organism in Eukaryota, Metazoa, Arthropoda, Insecta, Hymenoptera, Halictidae.